ACCAGACUCCUACGGGAGGCAGCAGUGGGGGAUAUUGCACAAUGGGGGGAACCCUGAUGCAGCGACGCCGCGUGGGUGAAGAAGCGCCUCGGCGCGUAAAGCCCUGUCAGCAGGGAAGAAAAUGACGGUACCUGAAGAAGAAGCCCCGGCUAACUACGUGCCAGCAGCCGCGGUAAUACGUAGGGGGCAAGCGUUAUCCGGAUUUACUGGGUGUAAAGGGGGCGCAGACGGCGAUGCAAGCCAGGAGUGAAAGCCCGGGGCCCAACCCCGGGACUGCUCUUGGAACUGCGUGGCUGGAGUGCAGGAGGGGCAGGCGGAAUUCCUGGUGUAGCGGUGAAAUGCGUAGAUAUCAGGAGGAACACCGGUGGCGAAGGCGGCCUGCUGGACUGCAACUGACGUUGAGGCCCGAAAGCGUGGGGAGCAAACAGGAUUAGAUCCCCUUGUA
RNAcentral lists this ribosomal RNA (445 nucleotides) under uncultured bacterium. Its description in RNAcentral is "bacterial SSU rRNA". It matches the Rfam family "Bacterial small subunit ribosomal RNA", at positions 330 to 792 of the family's 1533-position model. The record is from RNAcentral.